RNAcentral lists this ribosomal RNA (439 nucleotides) under uncultured bacterium. RNAcentral's name for it is "partial 16S ribosomal RNA". It matches the Rfam family "Bacterial small subunit ribosomal RNA", at positions 339 to 795 of the family's 1533-position model. The record is from RNAcentral.
CUACGGGUCGCUGCAGUGAGGAAUAUUGCACAAUGGGGGGAACCCUGAUGCAGCAACGCCGCGUGGAGGAUGACGCAUUUCGGUGUGUAAACUCCUUUUAUAUGUCAAGAAAAUGACGGUAGCAUAUGAAUAAGCACCGGCUAACUCCGUGCCAGUAGCCGCGGUAAUACGGAGGGUGCAAGCGUUACUCGGAAUCACUGGGCGUAAAGGACGCGUAGGCGGGUUGGAAAGUCAGGUGUGAAAUCCUACAGCUUAACUGUAGAACUGCACUUGAAACUUCUAAUCUAGAGUAUGGGAGGGGGAGAUGGAAUUAGUGGUGUAGGGGUAAAAUCCGUAGAUAUCACUAGGAAUACCUAAAGCGACGGCGAUCUCCUGGAACAUUACUGACGCUAAGGCGUGAAAGCGUGGGGAGCAAACAGGAUUAGAUACCCCCGUAGUC